Acinonyx jubatus (cheetah) is the source of this 26861-nucleotide RNA transcript. RefSeq lists it as uncharacterized. The record is from RefSeq and is a predicted model, not a curated record. NCBI's taxonomy places the organism in Eukaryota, Metazoa, Chordata, Mammalia, Carnivora, Felidae. The transcript is spliced from 5 exons.
AGAGAGAGAAGCUAUAUUCUUUCAGUCAUGGAAUUAUCUACUUCAGAAUUAAUAAUAUUAAGUCAUUGAAGUAUAUUUCCAUACUAGAAAAUAAAAUUAGAAUAAUAGAAAUUCUAAUGUUUGACUCUGGUCCCUGUUGCUUUUCUAGUUUUUAAUCUGUUAGCUAUUUUAUGUGUUUGUCUUGUAAAAGUAAACUCUUCAGUACUUGUAGGCUAAGUGUUUUGGGACUACUGGGUUUCAACCUCAUACUCACAAUAAAAAAGAAAUAUAUGUGAAAACUCUAGGACUUCAUGCUUUGCCUACUGUCUGAAAUAUUUUACUUUAGGUGUAUUUAAAGUGUCUAAAAAUAAUUAUCUUCAGAAUAUGUACUCUUAUUAAACUUAGACUACCUAGCGUGUGGUCAAAUUGACAUUUCUUUCAUGUAGAUUUUUAGCUUCCAACAUCUUCAGAGUGUGUCUAAGGCCAUUUUUGGAAGAAAAAGUAGUUCAGAUACCAUAAUAUUCAGUCUUGUAAAGUGUCCGAUUCAUGUGGUUUUACUAAAGUGGUACAACCACAACCACUAUUUAAUUCUAAAAAAUAUUCAUCACCCUAAAAUGAAACCUCUUCUCAUUGGCACCUACCCUUCAAUGUCUUUCCCCCAAUUCCUGGCAACCACUAAUCCACUUUCUAUCUUUAUUGAUUUGCCUAUUCUGGGCAUUACAUAUAAAUAGGAUCAUAAUAUAUGGCCUUUUAUCUGGCUUCCUUCACUUAGCCCAAUGUUUCCAAGACUCAUCCUAAAUUCAUUUUAGGUAGUAAGAGUCUUAAUUUUGCAACACACUUCUUACCGUUUCAAGAAAUAUUCAAGCCAUUUCAACUGGUGAAAAGUUUGAUUUAUUGCAAUUCUGCAAUUUUUUUCCAAAGGUGAAAAGACAAAUGUAAGCCAUGUCCCUUCUAAACGAAGUGAGUUGGAGUUCUCAUCCUUCACUUUAUCUCUUUCCUUAAUUUGCUAGCUGUUUUGUGAGAUCUGUGAAAUAAAGGUGAUAUCUGGCCCUUGUCUGUCACAGGUGCCUGCCAGCAGCCAUUAUGGGCUGCAUAAAAACUACAUAAGAUCUUUUUAUCAUGUACUGUAAGGUUGGCAGUGCAGGUAAAACCUUUUUCUGUCAGCUAAUUCAUUGUUCUCACCUUAGAACACAAUUUUAAAAGGCCCAAGAGAAAUGGAAAAUGAUCUUAAUGUAGAUCUAACACUUUUAAGCAGAAGAAAAAUGAUGAACUGCUUUUACCUCCUUCAGAAAUUUAAUAGAUAAAUCAAUCUCUAAAUUUUAUAUAAAUGGUGGACUGCAUCAAAGAUAAAUCAAAGAGCCAGAUAAGAGCAAAGUAAGGUGCUUGAAAAUCUCUGCGAAGUUAUGAGUAGCCAUAUUUUAGCAUGCACAGCCAAUUUUCAGGGCUCUAAUUAAUGUUGAAUGUUCUAAAUCAUGCAAACCAAUACUAAUGACAGACAAGAAUGGAUAUCCAGAAAAGUACACAUGCUAAAAUAUAAUUGUACAGUUGUAUUACUAACCUAGUUCAUAUUAAUUUUUUUAAAUUGGAUACAGUGGCUGAGAAGAUAAAACUAUGAAGACCUUGAAAUGAAAAAUUCUCAAAGUCUCAAUUUAGAGUUAAUAGUGUAGGAAUUGUGCUGUUCACUUCAGUUUUUUAUUAGGAUUAAAUAGGAAGCCAACAGAGAAAGAUCUUACUUUGACAAUUGAUUAAUUUGAAUGUGGGGGCACUGAUUAUGAAUUUUAAUUUUUUUUAAUGUUUUAUUUAUUUUUGAGACAGGGAGAGACAGAGCAUAAACAGGGGAGGGUCAGAGAGAGGGAGACACAGAAUCUGAAACAGGCUCCAGGCUCUGAGCUGUCAGCACAGAGCCCGACACGGGGCUCGAACUCACGGACCGAGAGAUCAUGACCUGAGCCGAAGUCGGACGCUUAACCGACUGAGCCAUCCAGGCACCCCUCACUGAUUCUGAAUUUAAUCCUAGUCACUUAAAAGCGAUAUUACAUUUGCUGAAUAAAUAGCUGAGAUUCAAAAAUAGAAGGAAAAGCUGGGCAUAGUCACCAGACACCCUGCCCUUGUCAGAGAAAUCUUGGAAUUAUAGGUGAAAACUGACUUAAAUUCAUGUUAAUAUUCUAUGCUGCCUCUGACAUUUCCACAUUAGAACCCUGGGCCUUCUGUGUCCUAGCUGGGUAACUUUUAAUUAACUAAUGAUGUUUGCAGGGUCUCACAUUUCUCCUCUAUAAAAAGAUUGUUAGUAACAGCAUCUAUUGGAAAAUAGUGAAAACUGAAAGAUGGUUUAAGGGCCAGGUACUUUGCUGGGCGCAUCAUAGACUCUUGGCAUUAUAAUAAGGCUUCUAUUCACUCCCUCUUCAAAUUGGAUCCUCAUGUUAAUUUUUCCCACCUGAAUGUUUAAUCAAAUUUACUUAGUUUAAUUCAAUUUUUACUUUCUUACAUAUUCCAGCUGAUGUAGCUAAGCCUAGUAACGUGGAAAAAAGAUGAGGUAAAACCAGAGAACCACAAACACAUUGGAUUCUUAUUCCAUCAAUAGUACCUUUAGGGUAUGUUUCAAAAGUUCACAUCUUCAAGGGUUUUCAGGGUACUGAAGAAUAACAUCAAUUUUUAGGUAGACUAACAAAGUUGACUUUACAAAGUAUACUUGUUUGAAUCUGGAUUCACCAUUUUCUGUGACUCCUUUCCAAUUAUUAGCAUUAAUAAUUUUCAAGGUUAGUAUAAGCAAAGAAAUUCACAUUUUACUCAUUGCUUUCAGGUUCAGUAUCUUUAUGUCAUAAAGCCUGUAAGACACAUAGAAAAAGAGAUCAAUAACCUUUCCAAAGUCAUAAAAUUAAUGAAUAAAUAGAGCCAUAAAAAUAUAGUCUUAAGCAUUUCAUUUCCUAAAAUGACUUAUGUUAAGAAUUGGUAAAUAGUUCAAUGAAUCCAUAAAACUUACCAUCCAUGAGUUUGUAAUUUAGUUUUAAUUCAGCAGCCCUUUCAUUUUAUUUUCUUUAAUUCUUAUUUUGCAAAGGUUUGGCCAUUUGAUAUCUCCCUGGCAUCUGUGUAGGAGACCAUACUGAAGCAGAGAAACUUAAGCUAAGUAAAGGCUGUUUCGUUACAUUUUUAGUAUAGGGAGAUUGAAGAGUUUAAGUACAAUUAAAGCUGGGAAUUUUCUCUAAAUUGUUUUUAUUCUCGUACCAUUCGACCCGUUUGCAUCUAAUAUAUAGAUAAUAAUUUCCUAAUUUUGAGGUAUUUACAGGCUUCCACAGCAAAUGUCAUACAUGCCCUCAUACUUUCUGUUAGGAAGUAAUGGCUUGAAAAAAUAACCACUGAAUAAACACUAGGGUGAGAAAGUUUCUUAACAUACUAAACUGAAUCGUGCCACCUAAUAUUCCUAAGAAUUAGUAACUUUUAACAUGGGGAUAUAUCAUAAUCAUAUUUGAGAUUGAACAGUGAAGAUGGUAUUUUCUGCAAGGCUACAAUUAAAUCUCUUUUCUUUAAAUUAAAGUCACUCAUAUAUGAAUAUAUAUGAAUAUACAUGUGAAUAUAUAUGAAUAUACAUAUGGAUAUAUAUGAAUAUACAUAUGAAUAUUGAGUAUUUUUGUAUUCUUUGCAUAAGUAUCUAGUAGUGCAAUUGCUGGGUCAUAGGGUAAUUCUAUUUUUAACUUUUUGAGAAACCUCCUACUGUUUUCCAGAGUGUCUGCAUCAGUUUGCAUUCCCACCAACAGUGCAAGAUAAUUCCCCUUUCUCUGCAUACUCACCAACACUUGUUGUUUCCUGUGUUGUUAAUUUUAGCCAUUCUGACAGGUGUCAUGUGAUAUCUCAUUGUGGUUUUGAUUUGUAUUUCCUUGAUCAUGAGUGAUGUUGGGCAUCUUUCCAUGUGUCUGUUAGUCAUCUGAAUGUCUUCUUUGGAAAAAUGUCUGUUCAUAUCUUCUGCCCAUUUCUUCACUGGAUUAUUUGGUUUCAGGGUGUUGAGUUUGAUAAGUGCUUUAUAGAUUUUGAAUACCAAUCCUUUAUCAGAUAUGUCAUUUGAAAAUAUCUUCUCCCAUUCCCUAGGUUGUCUUUUAGUUUUGUUGAUUGUUUCCUUUGCUGUGCAGAAGCUUUUUAUCUUGAUGAAGUCCCAAUGGUUCAUUUUUGCUUUUGCUUCCCUUGCCUCUGAUGGGAACUUGUGAUGAGUACUGGGUGUUAUAUGUAAGUGAUGAAUCAUUAAAUUCUAUAUCUGAAACCAAUUUUGCCAUAUAUGUUAACUAGAAUUUAAAUAAAACUUGAAAUAAAAAAAUGAAAAUUACAUUGUGCUUAGAUCUCUAAUAUGUUGAAAUUUAUACAGGUUUUGAUUUUUUUUCUUUCAGGUUUUGAUUUUAUAAAGUAAACUCCUAAAACCAAAUACUUUAGCAUUCGUUGGUAGAUUUUUAGAAAACUACAUUUUUGUAGAAGUCUUAGAUUGAUUUUGAUUUUUGUAAAUUAGUACUUUAGAAUUGUCAUAUCCUUUCCAACACUGACACUAGAAAUCUCAAAGUCACCUUUUAACCUUCACAUUAAAGAAUGCACUAAAUUUGGGGUGCCUGGGUGGCUCAGUUGGUUAAGUGUCCGUCUUCAUCUCAGGUCAUGAUCUUGCCAUUCAUGGGUUCGAGCCCCACAUCAGGCUCUGUGCUGACAGCUGAGAACCUGCAGCCUGUUUCUGAUUCUGUGUCUCCCUCUCUCUCUGCCCCUACCCUGCUCAUACUCUGUCUCUCUCUGUCUCAAAAAUAAGUAAACAUUAAAAAUAAUGAUUUUUUAAAAGAAUUCACGAAAUUGUUUCAUCGUACUUCCUUGUUCCCACCCACCUCCAUUGCUCAUUUAAGAUUUCAUAAUCCCUUACCUAGUAGUGGUCUAAUUGUUCACUCAAAAUCCAAUCUCUUAGUUUGUUUAUAUUUCUUUAUAUGGUAUUUAUUGUCCUAAUACACAGUUUAGAUUAAGCCAUUCCUUUCACAACUGUUUAGUGAGUAUUAAAAAACAAACUCCUUGAUUUAUAUACAAGGCCUUCUGGACUAUGUCGCUAUACCUUUCAAUGCUUCUGAUUGUUAUACUCAAAUCUGUCUUUUUUAGUAUUUAUGACAUGCCAAAUUAUCUGUAAUCUUAACAGCACUGUGCUAAAUAAGUCUAGUUGAAGAUGAGUAUUAUGAGGGUCCGAAAAGAUGUCCCAGACCAAACAGCUAAUUAUAUGGCUGGAUUAGGAUGCUUACUUAGUUUAGCUUCUUCCAAAUAUCUAAAACUCAUCCCUUCUUUUCCCUCCUCUCUAGUCAAAACCUGUUAUUUUAUGAUGUUGAACCCAAAUCUCCUUAGUGAGAUUCUAGUUCCUUACCCAGAUAAAUAAUUCUAUCUUUUAUAAUCAACUGGAAUUAUUUAUACCUGUAGUAUAAAGAUAAUUUAGCCUCCUUUCUAUUAAAUUAGGUACUAGCUUCUAUAUUUUAUUUAAGACACCUUAAAUACAAAAACUGUAUCUUUGUCUUCUUUAUCCUUCUAUGUUUGUUUCCAUUCAUGAUCAGAAACAUAUUUUUUAUCCUUACAUAAUCUGAAUGGCAGGCAUAUUCAGUCUGUUGGUUGUAAUUCAAUUUAUUUGUUGUUGUUGUUGUUGUUUUUGCUAUUUGAUAAAAUAAAAAUUUAACUAUAACUUUCAAAUACAUUACUUACUGUAUUUUGGAUUCUUUGUAAUAAAACAGAUUGCCAAAGUUUGAGGCAAUAUUAGGACAAUAUCUGCUGAUUCUCAGAAUCCUAUUGAAUACUAAUACUGAUUACAUUUUAAAUCUUGGCCAAGAACAUUAUAAAUUAGGAUGAUGAAAUUGAAAGAAUAAAAAAUCUCUUUAGUUAUUUUUUUCCUAAAGCUCUUAGCUAAGUUUUGGAAGAAAAAACAUGUAUCUUCACAAACAACAUUUAAAUGUAUAUGUCAUUGUUUCUAUAUUAAAAUAUUUAUGCUUAUAUAUUUAUAAAAAUGCCUCUUCAUAAUAUUUUUUAUGAAUGGUAUAAAUUGAUUGAAAUGGCAAUGAAGUCAAAUUUAUUUAUGCCAUCAAUAAAGAAAGUUUUUUUCAAAUGCACACACACAUGUGUUUAUGGUAAACAUAUUUAAGGCAUUGCUCCAGUUUCUAUAAACCCCUUCCAAAAAGAACAGAAAAAUCCAAUAUUAUAAGUCUCUAUCAUUUUCAACCUUAUGUUGGUUUAUAGGAAGAUACAGGACUAGGUUAAGUAUUUUUCACAUAAUGUUUGAAUUUAAUACAUUGGACUAAUUUUUACAAAAUAGAAAUAAAACAUAAAUAAAUAGUACUUUGCUAACUGAGAAUCCAAGUCACUUAUAUUUUAUGACUCAUCAAAAUUCUAAAGACUAGGAAAAUUAACUGAAAGAUUUAAUUUACCUAUUCCUGAAGAUAUCUGGACUUGAUUUUUCAGUAGUAAUAAAAAUAUGUAAUUGUAGAAAUCACUAGAUAGAAUUUUCAUAGAAUUAAAAUAAUAAAUAGUAAUACUCGAUGUGUAAUUCAAUAAGAUAAGUAGUUUACUUGUGAAAGUGUUUUAUUUAAUAUCUUAUUUUUUAACUCACAUAGAAUUACAAUUCUGUAAAAUUCCAUUAAUUUCAAUGUUAAUUUUUAAUUUUCUUAACAUUUAUUUAUUUUUGAGGGACAAGAGAGAGACAGAGUACAAGUGGGGGAGGAACAGUGAGAGAGGGAGACACAGAAUCCCAAGCAGGGUCCAGGUUCUGAGCUGUCAGCACAGAGCCCAAUGCGGGGCUGGAACUCACGAACCAUGAGGUCAUGACCUGAGCUGAAGUUGGACACUUAACCAACUGAGACACCCAGGCACCCCAAUGUUAAUAUUUUAGAAUUAAUUAUAAUUUGUUGUGGGUUGCAAUGAUAUAGCCUAUCCUAAUUAUAAAAAUCUGUUAUAAGGAAAUAAAUGAUUUUUAAAUGUACCAUAUAUGAUGAUGAAUAUAUUCACUGAUUUUAAAAGGCUUUUAAAUUUACCUCAUAUGCUGGGACAAUUUUUAUGAGACCAACUUUAAUGGCCUUAUAAAAGAUGUCAUUUAUAGGGUAUUUAUGACAUGCCAAAUUAUCUCUAAUUUUUUAAACAACACUGUGCUAAAUAGGUAUAGUUGAAGAGGAGUAUUAUGAGGUUUUGAAAAGUUGUUCCAGACCAGACAGUUAAUUACAUGGCUGAACUAGGAUGCUUACCUAGGCUGGCUGGUUCCAAAGCUGGAUGAGUAGCAGAAGCUUAAAGAAUCCUUUAUAGUCUAAGUGAGCGGCUGUCUCAUAUUCAGAAAGACUCGAAGAACUAAAAUUUCCUGGACUUGUUAUCAAUUAAAAUGUCAAUGAAUGUCAAUGACUCAAUAUAAUAGAUUUUUAAAAUAUCUUCCAAAUUACUUUGAUGAUCAGCAAGAUAUGAAAAUCCAGGUGAAUAUGGUAGACAAGUAUAGUACAAACAGCACUGCAUCAGAAGGGAAACCUAUGUUUCAUUUCUAUCCUGCUAUUUAAAACUUCUAGGAAGAUCAUAUAAUGUUUAAUGAAUUGCCAUGUGGUGUCUACUUUUUUCUCUUCAUAUGCUUCCUGGUAUGAAUAACUUAUGCUAUUGAUGACGGGAAGCUGCAAGUACUACCAAGAAUGCUAAGAAAUCACUGAACCCAACAUCAGCUCUAAACCGCUACAAAGUGUAUGCGACAGCUGCCUCUUUAACGAGUGCCUCAAAAACAAAUAAGCCUUGUUGGUGUUCUACAUUAUGGAUUAUAUCUCAUGGUUGUGUCUAUGUCAUCAUUUUCCAGCAAUAAUCCUAAGUAAUCCUCAAUAAUCCUUGGUUAAGUAGGCUACAGAGCCAUGGCACUUUUUUUCCUCUAAAGGUCAGACGUAUUUUAGUGACAUUUUUCCCUUAGGGUUCAAGCAUCAGCCCCUUCAGGCUGAGUCAGAAGGUGACCUAAAUGACUCAUGCUCUUCAGUACUUAACUAUUCUUUCUGACCCUGAGGAUUUUUCCUGGCUUAUACUAAAUACUGUAACUACCUUUCCAUGAGAGUGAAUUCUUUCCCAGAGGCUGACUUGAUAUCUUCUCUAACUAGAGGCCCAAAACAACUUCUCAACUAGUCUUGAAAGCAUUUCUAAGAAUGGCACAAUAUUAUGGUGAUUACAAUAUAGAGUAAACUAUAGAAUAUAUGUAUAUUUAUAUACAUAUAUACAGCUCAUAACUAACUCUAUACUGUACUAUAUAUAUUAUAUAUCUAGUGCAUAUAUAUAUUGUAUAUAUACACACAAGUAUUUGGUAAAUAUUUGAAUAUUUAAUUUCUGGCUGUUUCAUUUAUCCCCCAUUUAUUUUGUACCAAAAAUGUGUAUAAAUGGUUAUAAAUUAUCAAAUGUUUAUGGAUAAAGAUUUUAAGUCACAGAAGUUAGAUAAUAUGCCCAAGAUAAAAGAGCUAAUAUUGACAGGUGCGAUUAGGAAUCCAGGUAUUUUGGGUCAGCUAGGUGGCUCAGUCAGUGAAGUGUCAGCCUCUUGAUCUUGGCUUAAGUCAUGACCUCACAGUUCGGUUGGUGAGAUGGAGCCACCUCUGGGUCUGCACUGACAGAGCCUGCUUGGGACUCUCUCUCCCCCCACUCUCUGCCCCUCCCCUACUUGCGAGCACUCUCUCAAAAUAAAUAGUCCGAAAAAAUCUAAGCAUUUUGGUUUAGAGCUAAUACUCUUUAUAGGGGCAAUAUUCAUAUUAUCUGUCACUGCCUUUCUUCUUUCUCCAUAUUAAAUUGAAAUAGCAACAUCUACAAAUUUCAUUUCAAUGUGAAUGAAUAAGUCUAAAUCUACAAACGGAGAGUCAUUAUUCAGAUUGUUUAAAUGUAUUAGCCCAUAAAUAUAUUAGCCCAAGGAUAUCUUUUCUUUCUUUGGAUGGUUUCUUAGAAAAGUUCACAUUAAUAAAAUGCUUACACUUUCUACUCAAUUAGUCAUGUAUAUAUAAUAUAUCCACUUUGUGUUUGUGCUGUAUUUGAUGGAUUGUUUGUUAAAAUAGAAAAAUAGAACAGAAAAAUAAAUUGUUUUUGGUGAUCUGAGAGAACGUUUUAUGUAACUGAUGGGCACAAUUUCCAUAGGUUAAAAUUAGAUGUCAAUAAAGUAGUAAAUUAUGAUAUGUUGUGCACUAGUACUAAAUAAAAAUAAUUUUCAGCCAGAGGGAUCAAUGAGGAGAUGGGACUUGAACUCAAUAUUUAAGGAUGGUCCUUAAAAUCAGUAAAAUACAUGGAAUUUUCUAGAAUAUAUUUCAAAAAUCCUAUAAAUAUAAAAACAUUUACAUGUAGAAUGAUGUAUGUGGAACUAGAUAAAAUGGAAUAGAUCUGUUGCUAAUUUCCAGAAACUGUUCUGUAAUAUUGAAUGAUUCUCAUCUCAUGCGUAUGUUUAUUCAUUCAGAAAUAUUGUUGACUGAUAGCAUUUGUGCAGGGUCCUGAGCAGGGCAUGUUUUCUGCUGCUGCUGAAAGAUUUUACUUCCUUUUCUAAUGGUAAUAUAAAACUCUUUUAAGAUAGAAAUUAUAUAUUAGCUAUCCAACCAUAAUAGAGUCUGCAAAUGGACAAAGUAGCCUAGAUUAAAGGGAGAAUCUCAAGUGUGAAGCGAAUUCUACCAAUGUCAACAUAAUUUCAAAGAAAUGGCUUAGGAGAAAAAUAAAAUAGUAUAUAUAUAUAUCUAUAUAUAGAUAUAGAUAUAAGUGUAGUAUUUUUCAUUCUCUGUAUGUAAGAUUUAAAAUAUUUUUAAUGACAAGAGUACUUACAUUUAGUUGUCAUGAAAAUUUUUCUCCUAGUAGAUUCUGAUUAUUACUCUUAACUGUCUUACAGCUGGAGUCCAGGGACCUAUGUAAUUUUAGCUAUAAUUAAAAAAUAAAACAAAUUUCCAGUUUCAGUUUUCUAAUUGCACAUAGGUCAUGCAUUUAGAGUAAUUGAAAUUUUCACUCAUCAUCUAAAUAAGUGACAUUAUAAAGACACAGUCUUACUGUUUAUUGGACCAAAACUAGUUUGCUCCAUAUACACUGUAGAGGAAAAAAAGUAAUCAAAUUAGUGUAAUGAAGAUGUGCUGUAAUAGAUUAAAGAUUUCAGUACCAAGUAGUUGAUGAUCUUGAGUGAUAAAUAUGGCUUUUGUAUGACCACCAAGCUUAAUCUUUAAAAAAUUGUAGCGUUCUAGCCUUUACAAAAAGAUCUAACCUUAUAUCAAAUAAAUAUUGUCAAGAUUGAUUAAUAUAGUUGUUAUUUUGACCUCAGAUGUCCAAGUUGCAAUCCAAUUACAAAAUAUUUCUGUGAACAUCUAUAAGGACAUUUCAAAUUGACAGAAGGUAACACAUGAUUGUCACGUUUAUUCAUGCAAAGAACAAUUAGAAUAGAUUUAUUUUGAACAUGAAGGAAAUUUAGAGAAAAACAAGCAUCGUUUCUCAUCUGAGAAAGAAUUGUUGUUUACUUAAGGUUAACCAUGAAAAUAACUUACUUCAUAGAAUACACAUAAUAUAGUAAAUACAGAUAUAGAGAAAAAAGUACAUUAUGAAAGCCAUGUACAGAUAUAUGCACUUUGCUCAAAUAAUUUCCACAAGAAAUAUUAAAUGCACAUUCAUUGUUGUUACCAUGGAACUAGGUUCUGGGGAUAAAUAAAGAUAAAAUUAUUUUUGAGGAACUAACAGCAUGCCAUGGAAAACAGUUACAUGAGCAUUAUAAAAAUAUGUACAAGUACCAUAAUGGAAACAUAUAUAAUUUUGAUAAAAAUGCUAAGAAGUAUCUUACUCCAACUAUUUUGGCAUUAGUUGUGGGUACUGGAAUGGGAAGGAGUUGGUAGAUGGCAAUUGGUAAAGCACCCUGGAGAAGUGAUUCCUAAGUUGAGUAUAAAAUAACCAUAUUAGAUGAUAUCUAUGUCUGUAAGGACAUCUACUCAAAACGGGUGAAAUAAGUGAACAUAUGCAGGAAGAUAAGCAUUGUGUUUAGGGAAAUAUAUAAUCAUUUUGGUGUCUCUACAUCAAUUUGAAUUAGACAGUAGGGACAGAUGUUGGAGAAAUAAGAGGCUAUACCUAAAAAAAAAUGUAAACUUUAUUCAAAAGGCAGUUAUGUUAUUCCAACUGGUCUGACACCAACUGUAUGUACUACAGUUCAAUUCUGAUCCUAACUGCCGGGACUUGGCACAGACUCACAGAUUAAGGGCAGAUUCCUCUACAAGACUGCUCUCACUUCAGAUGCCAGCUGCAAGUCUUGAAGGCAUGAUUGGGCCAUCCCACUUCUGGCCAACUGGCUACAAAUUUAGGGGUUUCCAUGAUCAAUCCCGUCAGGUUUAAUAAUUUGCUAGAAUGGUUCAGAGAACCCAGGAGAGUACUGUAUCAUAAUUACAGUUUUCUCACACAGGAUACAUACAGGGUGUAACCUGGGAGAGAAUGCAGAACUUCUGUGCCCUUUCCUCACAGAAUCAAGGAGUGUCACCCUUCUGGCACAUCAAUGUGUUCACCAACAAGGAAGUUCCACUGGGUUUUGGUGUGCAGAGAAUAAAUUGAGAUUUCAUUAAUUGGGUAUGAUUGAAUUCAAAUACAUGGGCAGAUUUAAUCUCCAGCCAUGCUCCCUUUCCUAGAAUUUGGGCUAGCUCCAAGUUCCAACACACUAAUCGGGAGGUUGUUCUUCCUGGUGACCAGCCUCCUUUCUGAAGCUAAAUAGGACUGACCAGGAGUAACAUCAUGAAGAAGUUUCAAUAUUUAUCAACCCUUGACUAAUAUGGUUUCAUCUAUUUUCCUUUCUUCUUUCCUCCCAUUAUUUUGAAUCAAAUCCUAAGAUACCAUCCCAUUUUACUUAUAAAUAUUUUGAAAGGAUUUCAGUUUUAAUUUGUCUUUACUCUUAGUCACAAACAUUAUUAAAGAUUAUAGCACAAAGAAAUACUGAGAUUGAUAUAAAACUAUGUAAUAAGAAACAAGGUCUUAUUUAUUUAAACAGGCCACUUUAUGGCUAUAACAAGUGAAGGGGAGUCAUAAUUUUGAGAGUCAAAAAGCUUAGGCAUUAUCACCACAUAUUAAUUCAUUUUAUAGUCCUCAAUGAGACUAUUGUAUGUAUUUCUGUACCUUUCAUUUGAAAAAGCAGAGAAGAUAUUUAAUAUUUAAUUUACAAUAUAUUUUACCAGCUCAGCAUAUAGUGCGAAUAUAGAGUCAUCAAAGUAGUAAAUGGGGCCUGGGUAAACCCUGAAAAAAACAGUACUUCAGAUGUCUGCUAAUUUUUAGAAAAGCGAAAAAAGCAAUUUUCUGUUCAGGAGUGAAAUAAAUUCAAUGCCCUGCAAAAUAUAAAGAGCUGUAAAAAUGUAUACCAUUCUGAUAAGUUAGUACAUAAAAGUUUGAUGUGAAGUAAUACAAAUGAAGCCUUCAAGAGGUGAUAAUUUAGAACCAAAUAAAUUAUGAAACAGAACUGCCAAUUGAUCAUGAAAAAAAUUAAUCUAUUUUUGUUAAUCUGUUGGUUUGUGGGUUUUUUCUUCUGUAAUUACAUAAACUAAAUUUAAUAAAAUCUGUUAAAUGGGGAAGUGUUCUACUCCAAAAUAAAACACUUUGUUAAAAUGACUAAAUCCUGAAAUGGCUAGACAAAUUCUUAAAAAAAAAAAAAAAAAAAAAAAAAAAAAAGAGGAUUCCUAGAAAGGAGAUUAAGAAACCCUGCUCAAUUUGUAGGUAUUUGUAGGAGUCAGAUCAACUAGAGAUGGGCCUCUAAGAAUGGUAUGCACCAGAUUAUUUAUGACAGGGAUUUGUUUAUGGAAUUGGGGAAAGGGUUACACCGUUUAGCUACAGUUGUUGCUUUGUGUCUGGUGGUGGCUCUGAAAUAACAAGGGCAUGCAGUAUAGACAGAAAUAUAAGGUGUUGGAGAGAGCAAAGGCAAACUGGAACUUGUAUAAAUGAGUGGAGAACCCAGGAGGAUGAACUGGAAGCCAGGUAGCUUCUCAACACCUUGAAUUGUCCAACUUGAGUGAUAGGGAUGAUUUGCAGAAGAGGCUGGUGCUAUUUGUCAAGGGCAUAAACAAAAAUCUGGCUCAGGAGCCAGUGGAUCUGGAGGAGGAGAUCUAGCAGAUGGCAGAGGAGGUGGAAGCCCAGUUACUGUUUCAAGCCAACAAGGUGAGUCAGCAAGUUUCAGAUACUGUGCAUGAGCUAUAAUUGUAUCCGAUCCUACACUGACACCCUGAGUUUCAAUCUAGCUGUUGUUCACUUCCACCUUCUAAAUCUUACACAUCAUGUUUUCCUUAUGGCCAAGCUUAGCCCAAGAACAUAGAGGGAAAGAAAUUCUGGGAAAUCUUGUUUCAGCUCAGCUAAGUUGACACAAUAGAAAACUAUCAAGAUUCUCUUGCUAUCUCGGACUCUACAUGCAUCUUCAUUAACCACAGAUAAGUUCUAAAGUCCUACUUCUUCCUAACAUGAUGCACACAGUAACCAUCUUCCUAAACAAAUUUAAAAAGUCCUUAUAUUUGUCUUUAGCUGAUGAUGCUCAGUCCUUUUCAGGAUGAAUCACACUUUCUCUUUGAUGUUCUGUAACCUAAAUAUUGAGAUAGAAGGUUAGCUACUAUUAACAUAUCUAACACUUGUUGAUUUUGUGGAAAAAUGUUUAAACUAUAUUCCGUACUGAAAUAAGUUAACUAUUCCUUAACUACUGAAGACCUCAUUUCAGCAGAUUAGUUACGAGUUAAUAAUUGGUGUUUGUCACUACCUCUUCCCACUCCCAGUCUGUAUUGCCUUUACCUUCAGCAAUCACCUCAGAUGCUUGUAGAUUCUUGCUUGGUUGAAUGAGCAAAACCUUUAUCCCUAAAGUGGCUGGGUCAUUACACAUUCUGACUCUACUGGGUUGAUGGAUUUUCCAUGGGCUCUAACUACAGGACAUUGGAGUGCCCAAUGAUCCCCAGAAAACUAAGCGUUCUCCUCCUUAUACCAUAUUUUCUAAUAGCACCACAAUUUCUCUUUUUAAAAUUUUUAUUUUUAGAAAGAGAGAGAGAGUAUGAGUGCUGCAGAGGGGCAGAGGGAGAGAGAGAGAGAGAGAGAGAGAGAGAGAGAGAGAGACUCUUAAGCAAGCUCCAUGCUCAGUGCAGAGCUUGACACGGGGCUCUAUCCCAUGACAUUGGGAUCAUGACCUGAGCUGAAAUCAAGAGUCAACAACUGAGCCACCCAGGUGCCCGCACAAUUUCUCUUUUAUACUAAAGAUCACUCCAGACAUAUAGCAACCUCUUCCUAGUCUAUGUAUUUACUGGUGUUGAGUAGCUAGAACAACAGGUCUUAGGGUAGAAACUCAGUUUGUAAUUAUUUCAAAUCAUUGCAAUGUCUCCCGGUGGAAGCAGGAUUUUAUUUAAUGAUACUGAAUCUGUGAUAUAAAAAUACAUGUCCUUAUAUAUAAAAGUAAUUUUUUCCCUUUUUGUUACAGUUGCCUGGUCAGCGUAUAAUCAUAGAAUGAGUUAAAAAGUUUUUCAUUAACCCCUCCCUUUAACCUACUUUGGCAAUUUGAAAUUCCUUUUCAAUUUUUUUAAUCUUUUCACAUUUUCUGCUACAGUUUGAUAAUGAAACUCUCCUUUAAAUAAUUAAGCUACUGGCUAAUCAAUGCAGUCCUUCUUACAGUACCUGCCUGCUCUCUAAGAUUUUGAUAUUACUCUGCGGUCACGCUGGGAAAAGUCCUCUUUUUGGAUGCUAAUUCUUCCAGUUUUUAGGUUCAAAAUUUUCAUUGCCACAUUUCACCAUGAAUCUAAUUAUAUGUGCCUUAUUUUAUAAAAAUCUAAAUUUAUUCUUGUAGAAAUAUAGUUCUCUACCACUUAUAUAUACAGAAUUCAAUUAUCACUGUUUUAUACGUGUUGCAUUCUAUUUCUUUCCUUGCUUUAAAUGUGAUUCGUCUUUUGAAUGCGAAAUGUAUAAAAAUGUCCAGAGAAUAGUGUAACACACAUGUAUCUCAAACAAGAACAACAAAAUAGUAUAUGUGCUUUUUAUAAAUUAUGAGUUAAGGAAAUAUCACUUGUAAAGUUAACACUUCAGUUUGAUUCCCUUGCUUCACACCUGCUAUGGAUUGUUGUACAACCUCAAAUUUACACUGAAAUCCUAUGCCCCUUGCAAUGGUAUUAGGCGAUGAGGCCUUUGGGAGGUAAUUAAGUCAUAAGUGUGGAGCCUUCAUGAAUGACAUUAAUGCCUUUACUAAAAGAGGCCCUAGAGAGCUCCUUUGCCCCUUCUAUCAAAUGAGGACAGAAGUCUGGGACCCUGCUGGGGGCCCUCACCUGAACAUGCUGGCCCUCUGAACUCCUACUGCCAGCUCUCAGAAUGGUGCGCAAUCUGGUUUUUUAUAAGCCACGUAGUCUGUGCUAUUGUGUUACAGCAGCAUGAAGAGACUAAAACACCACUUGUAGAAUCAAACGUGUGAAGUCAUUGAAAAUACUUUAAGUUGGCAUAUUAACAUUUUUUUAAAUCAUUCAUUCUAUUUAUUUAAUAAAUAUUUCCCUGGUGCCUAAUAUGUGGCUGACAAUGGUCUAGACAUUGGGAAUCCAACAAAGUAUAAAACAUAGUUUUUGCCAUGUUGGCAAUUAUAUACACGUUGCCUCUCACCUUGGUAUGUUCACGUGUCAAAUGAUCUUGUACUCCACUCUUCUUCAGACGUUCAAUUACAGGUUUAUUCUCUAGAUCUUUUCAUGAUCAGUAACAGCCACCUCCUCCUUAAACUAAUCUCAGUUGCAAGAAUGCCAGUAUCUGAUUAACACCUUCUAUUUUCCAGCUCACUAACUGUACUACUGCAAUUACAACAAUCCUUCUAGCCCACCAUAAUCUACAAUCAAUUAAUACUUCCAUCUAUUUACCGUCUCAUAAUACUCAUAUCUUCUUUUUCCCCAUAACCUGAUUCAAUUCUAUGGUCAAUCAUUGUAAUCAUUCUCUUGCAGACAUCCUCAUUCCUUUCAAUGCUCUUAUUUUUUUUACUCUCCGUUGCCAAAGCUGCUUCCCUGGCCUGGAACUAUAACACUCAACUUGCCUAAUUUGUCUAAAAGAAAACCGAUCUUGCUGAAUCUUCCCGUGUAAAUGCACGAUCAACGAUUUCAGUUGAGCACUCAGUGCUACUCCACCAUCACACUUUAUUUCUCCAAUCCAUCCCUUCUCGCAGUCUGAAAGAUGACUAUUUUGCAUUUUUUCUGACUUCAAGUAUUUAACAUUUCCUGCCUAUACGUACACUCAACUAAUAUCCCUGCUUUGUAUUUCCCCCAACAGAAUUGAAGAAUACAGAAGAGAAUAUCCAUAAGCUCUAGUAAUUAUAUACCCCCUAACUGUGUCCAUGUGCUGUAUCUUAUGUUCUCUCAAAUUACCAUUAAUGAACUGCCAGACUCCUUUCUAGAUUUAACACUUUUACUUACACAUCCAAUUCCAUAUCGUCAGUGCUGCUUCAAGCAAUUGCUCCAGUAUUUCUUAUUUCUCCCUUCCUCUCUUGUAAGCAUUUUUUUUCUCUUGCUACUAAAUCUAUAGUUACAGUAUAAAACCAUGUUCCUAUUAUCCUCAUAUUGAACAAAAGAUAGGAUUUCCCUCAAUUUCAUUUCUUCAUUAAUUUUUCCCUACUUCUCCCCCUUCCAUUUCAGCAAAACUUCUUCACUUCAUAUAUUCACCCUCUGACUUAACUUCCCUUCUUCCCUUCCUCAAACUCCUGUCAGGCUUUUGCCACUAUCAUUACAUCAUAUCUUUAGCCAAGGUGCCAAGACCAUAAGUGAUUUCUCAGUUGCUAAACGUAAGUGUCAUUUCUUCAUUCUCCUCCUGAGCCACAGCACCAUCUGAAAUAAUUGCUGACUCACUCUCUCUGGGGAAGCCCUUUCUUCCCUUUUCCUCCAAGUAUCUUCCAUGGUUUGGAGCCUACUUCCCUGACCACUGCUUCUGAAUUUCCUUUCUUUCUCAUCUCUGCAUAUAUAACUUGGAGUACUCCAAGUGUUUAUUCCUGAUGUAUUUUAUUUUUGGCUUACCUGCACUCACUCAGAAAUUUCAUUAAAUCUCGUGCUCUAUUUCCAUACUCUGAAGAAUUACAAAUGUGUAUCUUCAGUCAAAAUCUCUCUCCCAAAAUUGACUCAAUUAUUUAAAGGCCUAUUGAUAGCAUCAUUUGAAUGUCUAAUAGAUAUUUCAACAGUAAAAUACCAAAAAUUGAGCCCUUAAUGUGCUGUCUCCCCCCCUCCCCAAAUUCUUCCCUGUUAUAUUAGUUUUCACGAAUUCCUUAUUUCUAGUUGUUCACACCAAAUCCCUUAGAGUUCUCCUCCUAAACUGCCUCCCCACCACAUUAUUCAAGUCUAUGUAGUAAUCUUCUUUGCUUUACCUUCAAAAUUAACCAGAAUGCAAACAUUUAUUAAUACUUCUGAUAUUAUUAACAUUUUGGUCCAAGCCACCAAAAUGGGUUGAAGGCUUGGACUUCCUCACUACUUUCUCUGCCCCUGCCUUUGUUCUUAUUAUAGUACAUUCCCUUCAAGUUUUGCUUUGUUUUUAAUUAAAGUAAGUACAUUUUUUUGAGACAGAGAACGAAAGUGCAAGUGGGAGAGGGGCGGAAAGAGAGGAAGAGAGAGAAUCUUAAGCAGUGGAGCCUAGUGUGGGGCUCAAUCUUGUGAGAUCAUGACCUGAGCUGAAAUCAAGAAUCAGAGGCUCAACCGACUAAGCCACCCAGGUGCCCCUGGUCAAUUCCCUUUAAAAUAAUGGUCAGAUCACAUUACCUUAGCUCAAAAUCCUUUGGUGGCUUGUUAUCUUGCUUAUAGUAAAUUCAAAGCCUUUACAAGAUUGACGAAGUGCUAUGUAAUUUUUAGCUCCAUAGGUACAUUAUGCGUGUUUUGUGCAUGUACACUAGAACCCCCAUCUGUGCCUUGUCACUCCCUCUUCUAACAGCACAAGACUGCAAGUUUUUUCCGAAGACUGACCUGAGCAACUGCUGUCAUUGUGCCCUCAGAGCUGAGCGUCCAUGGAAUUUAUAUUCCUUCAAGCAGCCUUGGGCUUGAGGACUAACUUGUGCUGGUGUGAGAAACCCCAGCCGUGUUGAUUGCAGCUGAGAUCAGAUCUGGGGGCUAUUUUGUACUCCAGAAUUCCCCUGCAAGAUCACAGUCUUGCCUUGCUCCUUCACCUUCCGUUUUUUACUGCACCCUUCUUUUAUCAGGUUCUUUCUGGAGAACAUUUCCACAAUAAAUCGUUUGUAUGUAUGUAUACUCUCAGGGUUUGCUUCUGGAGACCCAAGCCCAAGACAAGUCUCUAUUCCAGUUUUCUUUUGGGCCACAUCUCCUACUACUGGACCCCUUAUUUACUCAGCUCUAGCUUUGUAUCUUCCCCCUUUUACUUUUCCCCAUGACAGCAGGCAUGUCCCCUUCUCAGGUCCUUUGCAUUUAUUCUCAAUGUCCUCUUACUCCUAGUACCUGUAAAGCUCAGUGUUUCACCCCUUACUUGUCCUUGUUCAGAUUAUACCUUCCUAGGGAGUCCUCACUUCCAGUACACAAUAUAUCCUAUCUUCCCAUCUUUCUUUUCUCCAUUGCAUUUAUCAGCUUAAAGUACAAUGUGUUUAAUGGAUAACACUUAUUUACUGUCUCCUCCCAUCACAAUGUAAACAUCCUGAAGGCAGGAAGUUUCUCUGUAUCUCCAGAUCCUUGAAGAGUCCUUGGCCCACUAAUGUGUCAAAACAACUAAUUUGGGAUGAAUUGAAUAAAUACACAUUCAAUAAUAAUAUGUAAACAUUGUGUUAAUUUGUACAGAAAAUAUAUCAUACUGUAUAUCAUUGUGAAGCAUUUUUUUGUCAUUCACAUUAUUUUUGAAAUCAAUCCAUAGUGAUAUAUAUACAUAAGCAUCAUUCAUUUUUAAUUGUUUCAUGAUAUUUAUCAUUUAGAAGUAGUUUUAAGAGGAAACAUGUAUUUUAGUCAACAUUUAUAUACAAUUUUUCAAAAUAUUUACUUGUAGAAGAGAAAGUCUGUACAGUUAAAUUUUCUAGCAAUGAAAAAGUUAAUAUAAACACCAAUUCAAUAUGAAAAUAUUGUCUCAAUCACUAAGCAUUUCUGUCAUGGUUUUAUUUUUUAACUUCUUAGACUUCUAAGUUAAAUUGAAAUUUUUGGGUACAAAUGUCAUAUUGUUGUAUCUUAUAAAUAUAGAUAAUCUUAACCUUUAAAAAGAACAAUUAAAUUGCAGAACACUUCCUGCAUAGAUAGAUGAAUGAUAAAAUAGCAUAGAAUAGUAGUUCAUUCUUUAAAAUCUAGGCAAGAAAGACUAAUUUCAAGGUCCAGCAUUUCAACUUCAUCUUUAGUUUUGAAAUAAUUGCUAAAAUACUUUCUUAGAUGAAGAAAUUCAAUUGAAAUGAAUGACAAAGAUCUGUACUAAAAUCAAUGUCUCUAAUGUUAGGAAUAUAUUUAUGAAAUGUAACUCAUGAGAGAUUUUUCUUGAAAACUCAGAAAUAAAUACGAGAUUACAUAUUUUUGUAAUAUCUUAGGAUAGUGGGUUUAAAAUGAACACAUAAAAUAUUUUGAAAUAAACUGAUUUUAAAUACUUCAGAACAAAAUGCCAUUUGUGAAACAAGGUCAGUAUUAAUUAUCAACUUGAUCUUCCAACAUAGAAAUGUGAUUUGGAAAAUCAUCCAUCUAUAGAAAAGUCUUCCUUUUUUCUUUUCUUUUUUUUUUUAAUACCACACUGAAAUAAAAUGUUUCUCAUUGCCCCUAGUUGUUCUUUGUGAUCAGAGGCCAGUUUUAUCAGUGUAUUUGAGUGGAAGGAGCUGUACUGUGCAAAUUAGGAGACCUGGAUUCUGAUCCUCCUCUAACUAAUAUUUCAAAGAGGACUAAAAUCUGGAGAUUUAUUCAGAUACAAAUAGUGUUCCUAUAUUUGAAACACACACAGUUUUUAGAACUGUAUAAAUAAAAUAUACUAAAUUAUUAUAUUAUAUUUAAUAUAACAUAUUAAUUAUAUUAAUUAUAUUAAAUAUAUUAAAUAUAUUAUAAAUAAAAUAUGCUAUUUUCACCAGAAUAUAAGCUAUAACAAUAUAAAGCAGUUUCCCAGUGUUCAUUAUACAUUUUUAGUAUGAAAAAUCAGAUGGUGAAGUAACACAUCAUGUUAUCUACUGGAGAAACAUCACCAUUACUAAGGAUGAAGUUGUAAGAUAGCUUCUAAUAAUGAAGCUGUUACACAUUAAAUUUCCAAGUGUUUUCAAUUACAACCUAUCAUUGUGCUGAACACAAAUUUGUGAGACAAUGCAGACACCAUUCCUAUCUUAUGAAGUAAUUCAUACAGUUUCAUUGUUAUUCCCAAAGUGUGGCUGGUUAACUGUGGCCACACAUCAUCUGUCACUGAGAGGUUGGAUGUAUAAAGUGGUGGGCUGGAACCAGCUUGUAACAGCUCACAAGGAUAGGUUUUCCUCAUUUCUUUCCAAUUCUGUGUUUAGUGACAUAAUAUUGAUAACUCUAAUUACACCAGAGAAAUUGGUAAGUACUAUAAACACAAUUGUUUUGUUUUGGGUUUUGUUGUUGUUGUUGAGAGACAGUUUACUAGCACACCACUGACUGUUCUCUCUCUCUGAAUCAAUUUUGGCUCUGAGAUGACUUCGACCAAUAGAUUUUGGCAGAAAUGAUCUGUACCAGUUUCCUGGCCUAAUUCUUCAGAAACUGUCCUCCCCUUUCUGCCUCUUAGAAUAUUUGCUCUUGGAAAAUGCCCAAGCAAUCAGUGAACAGGCCCACAUAGACAAAAACUGAGGGUCCCAGUUGAUGGCUAGUGUUAGCUUGUCAGCCACCUUCAGCUGGAUCCUUAAGCAGUGGUCAGUCCAUCCCAGGUGACAAUAUAUAAAACAGAGAUGAGCUUCCCCCACCAAGCCCAGCCUGAAUUGCAGAUUUGUGAGCAAGGCAAAUUAUUGUUUUGGUUUUCAGCCACUACAUUUUUGGGUGGUUUGUAAUGGUACAUUAGAUAACUGGAAUGCAGAGACACAGCUUGAGUGUAGACAAAUUAGGACUGGACCCCACCUUAUGGAAAGUUCUUCAUGCUUCUAUUUCCUUCCCAUUCCCCCAUAACAGUACUGGAAAAAUAAAGAAUAUAUACCCUAUUCUGAAGAAUGCAGAGAAAACCCAAAACUAGUGGUUAAACUACUGUUUUUCUAACAGUAUUUGACAGACACUUUCAAAGUCACUAUUGUGGAAUCAUUGCAGGCAUUCUGAAUCAAUGUUUCAUGAGUAGUAUAUGCCUUCUCUUUUCCUGAUUGUAAAUUUCCAUGUAAUAAGAAUAGCAUUUGAAAGUCAAGUCAUUUAUCUUUGUUAUGUGUCUAAAAUUAGCAUCUAUUUUGUUUAUUUGCUGACUGCCAGAAAUAUGAUGAAUAAUAAUAUUGGAAGAAUUGGCAGGAAACUGAGCAUGCAUAUGAAUCACUAAGUCAAAUUAUAGUAACAUUAAAAAAUUAACUGUAGGGUAAUGUAGGUUAUCUUUCUUAUUGGUAUAUCUGAAAACAAUUUUGUAGAUGUUUAAAACAAAGCAAUCAAGAGAGAAUCAUACUGGUAACAAGUUAAAGUGUUAGUAAUUGUAGAUAUGUCCACAAUAGCAUUAAAAUAUUUAAUAACCUGCCAUUAGUGAGUAAAACAUAAAAGUACAAAUCAAAACAUUACACCUACUUUCAAAUAUCACAGACUCAAGUCUCGAUUAUCUGUCACCAUGAAUAUUGUGGCAUUCUAAAUGGUUCUGUUUUUACCCUCCUUCUCUAGACCUAUUACUCCAAAAAUACACCUCUAAAAUAAGUAUAUUCUUGCACAGAACCUACCUUUUCAUUCUAAGGAAUAAACUCUAAAUCCCUGUAUUCUAUACAGUUUCUCUUUUCAAAUCUCAAAAUUUCAUUCUCUUUCUUAACAAACUAGGUUACUCUCUUCCCUAAUAUUUCCCACACAUUCUCAUCCCUACUUUUGACCAUAUUGAUGCCGCUAUUUGAAAGUCCUUUCCCUCCAUCUAUAUAUAUUGAAGGUAAAGUCAAAUAUUAAGAACCAGUUCAAAAAGGAUGCAUGAAAUAUUCCCAACCACCCAACUCCAAAAGUAGUAGCUCAUGCUCCUGUAUUCACACUUCUCUAUUACAGUACUUCACUUAUGUUAAUAUUUUAUUUAUUUCUAUAAAAGCACAUUUGUACUGCUAAUAGUUCUCCAGUUUCUAAUAUUAUUUUUUUCAUUACUAGUACUGUCUUUUAGUUUAAUUUAGUAAAUGGGUGCACAGAGUCACUUCCUUUCCCUUUUGUAGCUAGAGGUAGUUUUGUAACAACAUCCUUGCCAACUGUUUUAAGGAUAAGUCUUUCACUUAAAAAAUUAUGCUUGGUUCUCCUUUAAAUUGUUUCUCCUUCCCAUGAGACAGGACUUGGACUUAGCACUGGUCAACCAAGUUUGACGAUGCAGAUAAUAGCACUAGUUGAGGGAGAUGAGGCACAGAGGUAAGAGCCAUACGCCCUGGAUGAUCUAGUGGUUCAAAACUGCCAGCCUACACUGGCCUACCCACCUACCUCAUUGUUAUGAAAAACAUAUAUGAUUCUAUAGCCACCUAGACUAUAUAUCCUAACAUACUAAUGCACUAAUCUCUAACUUUCUGAGUGUAGAAAUAUCACAGAUACUUUUUUCUUUCUCCUAUACCUAGCACAAGGACUUGCAGACAUUAUGUGUUCAAAAUGUCUUUGUUACAUUGCAUUGCACUAAAAACUAAUUCUAUUUGUAGGAAAAAAAAUCCGUGUAAACGUUUGUUCAUUAGAUUGGCCUUAUCAGCAUUAGGUCAUCUUAUAGUCCUCUAUUAAAAUAAUUAGAUCAUUACUUUUACUAAAACAUUAAGAUAUUCAUUGUUUAUAAUACAAGUCAGUAUGUUUCAGAAUUAGAGUAUAUGUGGAAAGGAAAUGGUGGCUGAGAGGAUAAAAAGAGCAGAGAAGAAAGACUUCAUAAAGUAUCUGUGCUUCAUUUAUAGUAAUGCUAUGUGCAUAAGGGAACCUCUUAAAAAUGAUCCACAAAGCAAAUGGUAUUUCAAUAGUAAAUAUCACAAAGACCAAAGGAAAUUUAAAUCUAAUUCAGAAUUAUUCAAUAAAGGUCAGUGAGAAGUAGGUGGGGAAAAAAGAACAUCAGAUGAUAGGAAUUUUCAAUAAUGUCCUCAUCAGAAAGGUCAAUCAAAGUUAUUUCCCUACUGUUUUCAAAGGAGGUAAAACUUUUCAAUUAAGAGUUGUUGAGUAGUAUUAAAGAGAGAAGACUUUGCCCUCAGCAAUUUUUUAAGUGAAAAAACACAAAUCAUUUUAUCUUAAUUCAUCACUGUAUACAAGAACCAGGACUUAAAAAAAUAAUAAUAAUAACAAGGCUAAGAUUUUGCUAUAAGCCUCCAGGCAUAGGUAAUAUUUCUCUACUCACAUGGCUUCUGUCAUCUUGUAAGCAGAAAAGUAGGAGUCCUACUAAAGCCUGCCUCUGUGCAGUUUGAUUAUUAAACAUAAUUCUGAGUCACAGAGUUCUCACAGCUUCUGUGAAAGCUACAGGAAAAGAUGCAAUUCAAACAAAAUGUUCCAUAUAAAUUCAGGCAGACCAUGAGCAUAAUGGACCUAUGUGAAUAAACCCUCGAAUCACAAAAUUUCACCAUGAAUAUAGAGAGUUGAUGGCUUUACUGUUUCUAGUUGAAGGAUUCCACAAAGUAUCUGAUUUCUGGUAUAUUUAGGGAAUUGGCCUCAUGGUAUGUUAUAGGAGCCACAAAUGCCCCAUGGUGGGGGGAAGGGAGGGGAAGUCCCAUGCAUAAUAGAGAGUGUUUACAGGCUGAUAUGGCUAGAAUUUGGAUGGUUUGGACAUUUCCGAGUGACCUCAAAAGAGAGUUGCUGGGGAUCACUGUGUUAAUGAACAGAUAAAGUGCUCAUCCAGACACAGUGGAAUCAGAACGCAAGGAACUUUUAUGAGGAAAAUAUCUCAGAGGUGGACAGAAUGACAAUAGUAUAUAUUAUAGCACAAUUACAUUUAGAAGGAAGUAGAACCAAUUUCCUCACAUUUGUGUAGAACAUAACAUGGAGCUUUAAAUGUGGCAGGAAACAAAUAAAAAUCUUAGCAUACACAAGAUCUUUAAGAUGAGCAGUUAGAGAAAUCACUCCUUGGCCACAUAACAAAAGCUGUGGUGUCAUUUGGACAUCAGAAGUCUCAAUAAUAAAUUACCAUAGGGACCAGAUUAGGGAACAUGGAAUUUGCUAAAUUACUAUGUUGGCUCAUUUGCAAUAUCCAAUGGGACCUUCUAAAUAUCACAUAAAGAUAUGUGGGAAAAGAGCACAAGGUCUUAAUUACAAGUAAUCUAUGAAAUUAAAAUGUGAGAUUAUUUUGCCAUUAAAAAUGCUAAAGCAAUCUUGUUAAACAUAUGAAGCAUGGACAUUCUAACACACUGUUGAAAUGAAUAUAAAUUUAUCUUAUAUAAAAUAAUUGACUACUUUUAUAAAAACCCAAAAAAUAUUCUUUCAGUAAUUCCAGCGAAGGGAAUUUAUUCUAAUGAAAUAUUCACAGAACAAAUGAAGAUUUACAAAUAUGUUUACAAAAAUAUUAAUAAAACAUUUCACAGUAAAUAACCUAUAUAAGGAAAUUUGUUAAUAAGGAUGGCAUAGUUACAUAUGGAAUAUACACAACUAUUGUGAAUUAUAUUUGAUUUUGCCUGGUAUCUAUUAAUGUGGAAAACACAUAAUAUUAAACAGGAAGAGUAAAUUACUUGAAACAAAGAGCAAUAAUGAUCUUACUUUCUGAGGAAAAAGAGAAUCAAGUUUCUUAAUUCUUACUUUGAGAAGAUCAGUGUUGUUGGAAUAUCUAACAUUGAUAUUUGAGUUCAGAAAAAAGACAUUGGCAGGUUAGUAUAACAAGGUUCUCUUGAGUUAAGAGAUCAUCAUCAUGGAAUGCAUUAGUACCUGGGCCUUGAUUGCCAUGGAAGAUAUCUGGGUUUUGCCAAAUCAAGUCUUGGGCCAGAAUUAAUCUCAAAUAAGGUAACUUAACGAUGUGGACAUGCACUUGGGAGAGGUGUGUGUGUGUGUAUGUGUGUGAUCAAAUGGUAUUUCAUUGGGAAUCAAGAAUUAUGUUGGUAUAUAUUAUGGUAUAUGUAUUAUGGUUUAAAAUAACCCUGGAGAGAGAAAUUUUUUUCAUCCAAGAAACAAAUAUUGAAACUCUAGCAGCAAUGUCCAUUGUUACAUGAACACAUAAGGGAGAACACCAUAUAGAAAUUGCGUGUUUGCAGGAAUAAUAUUGCAUACUAGUAAAAGCAGCAACGGAAGCAGAGAAUUGAUUCUGAUUGCUAGAAGAUCAUACCUUCAAGUUUUACCCAUUGGACCAAAUGAAGCCACUGACUUCUUGGACUCAUGUCAGACUGCUGCUCUACUUAAGAAGAGAGGAAGAAGAAUUUUCAAUACCAAAAAAUAGGGAGGAAAAGUCACAUAUGAUAUGUGCUGACUACAAUUCCUGUUUCCAUCUCCUCAUCUCUCAUUAACUCUCAGUGCCCUCCAGUCUGCCAUCUAGCCCACCACAGCACCAGAUAACUCCAGAUGAUUCUCCACAAAGCAUCCAGACAAUCCUUUCAAAAUAUGGAGCUGCACAGCCAUCUUGUAAACCUGCAGGAAAUCACUCACUAUGGAUGACAGAGCAGAAAGACAGAAGCAGCUUCGGUCUUCAUUGAUUGCACAGAGCUACUAGGCUAACGGUCAACUGCUUACCUUUGGGGUUCUUUUAUAUGAAAGAAUAAAUCAUGUUGUGUUUCAUCAAUGUAGUGUGGUGUCUAUUAUAAUAGCAAAAUGUAACUGCUACAGUAAUUUUUUGGAAGUAACAAAUUAAGGUUAAUGUCAUUAGACAAAGAUUGCAAAACUCAAAGGCAUAAGGACCAAAUUCAGUUAUGAAUAGUUAUCAGUAUAUGCCUUCUCUUCUCAGAGCUUUCCUCUCUGUAAGUCUAGCUCCAGCUUGAAAAAGGAAUUUGCUUUAAAGAAGGUUACAUGCACUAAGAUAAUAUCAUAUAUAUUUUUAGGAACAAAUAUAAAUUACUUGCUAAAAAACUGUAAGAAACCAACAAGACUAAAGAACACAUGUCAAUCAGAGAUAAGGAAUCACUUGCAUCUAAAGGUUAAAGUAUUUAAACCCUAAGAUUUGGGAACACCCUGCUGAUACUGGUAUACUCCCUUGGCAUUUAUCUUGUCAUUUAAAAUGUUCACAGCUAGCAAUAUAUUGGGUUUAUUCUUCUUGCUCUAUAGGAGAUGGAAGCCAGUGAAGGGACUGGAGAGAGAGGUAGCGGGGCACUAACCCUCUCUGAUGGCAUACAUGGUGUUUUGGGACCCAGAUAUAGAAAUAAAUGCAUAUAAGUAUAUAAAUAAUUUUUUAAAUGUGCCAAUAUACUAUGACAUAAAAAUAGAGACAGAAACAGCUUCACUUUAAGCAGAUAAUUAAUGUUCACCCUUCGCAUUAAGAAUGGUGUUUUACAACAUUGAAAUGUGAGAAUUUAAUUCUCCAUUUCCUGCUGUUUCAUCACCUUUCUUCUUCCUCCCCUUCUGCUAUGACUCCUCCCCACUCACCACAUACACACACCUCCUGGAGGGUUAGCACCAAUCUGAAAGUUCUGUUUCCUGGUAUUCAGUGUCCUUUUUGCAAAAGUUGAAAUCUUGAAAAAAAGAUGAAUCUAUAAAACUAUAUCAGCUAAAACAACUUAUACAGGUACAUUUUAAAACUCAGAUAAAAUACUCCUGAUCUUAAAAAUCAACGUUAGGGGCACCUGGGUGCCUCAGUCAGAAGGGCAGGAAGCUCUUUUUUUUUUUUUUUAAUGUUUAUUUAUUUUUGAGAGACAGGGAGAGACAGAGCGUGAGCAGGAGAGGGGCAGAGAGAGGGAGACACAGAAUCCCAAGCAGGCUCCAGGCUCUGAGCUGUCAGCACAGAGCCCAACUCGGGACUGGAACGCAGGAACCAUGUGAUCAUUACCUGAGCCAAAG